AAUCAGUCAGUAAUCCAACUGCGUGUGCUCGCUUCAUACCUGUCAUUGUUGCUGCCCAGUCCACCAACCUUUUAUCUCCAUCCACAGUGGACAAACUACACCAACGAUCUAUGGCUGGUGACAUAAAGAUGGGAUGAGAACCAACAACAUGAGCACCUGAAGUCUCACUCUUGGCCAGCUACACAAACCCCUCGCUGUGACUUGCAAAGAAAAGUAGAAAACAUAUCGACAAUCACCGUCAUGUUUUAAAGGACUGAAGAAAAGAAGAGUGUGCAACGAGAACAUGAGGCUGAAAAACUGCAGGCAUGAAAUAUAGAGAGGGAACAAAGGGAGAGAGGACCGGCUGAAAUCUGGCA
This is a long non-coding RNA of Epinephelus fuscoguttatus (brown-marbled grouper), 356 nucleotides long. RefSeq lists it as uncharacterized. The record is from RefSeq and is a predicted model, not a curated record. The transcript is spliced from 3 exons. NCBI's taxonomy places the organism in Eukaryota, Metazoa, Chordata, Actinopteri, Perciformes, Serranidae.